UUCGCAAUGCCCGAAAGGGUGACGGUGCGACGCCGCGUGGGUGACGAAGGCCUUCGGGUUGUAAAGCCCUGUCGAGGCGGGAAGAACCCCCCAUCGGUGAACAGCCUUUGGGGCUGACGGUACCGCCACAGGAAGCUCCGGCCAACUCCGUGCCAGCAGCCGCGGUAAGUCGGGUGGAGCAAGCGUUGUUCGGAAUUAUUGGGCGUAAAGAGCACGUAGGCGGCCUUGCAAGUCAGUUGUGAAAGCCUUCCGCUCAACGGAAGAAUGCCAGCUGAUACUACAGGGCUUGAGUACGGGAGGGGAGAGUGGAACUUCUGGUGGAGCGGUGAAAUGCGUAGAUAUCAGAAGGAACGCCGGCGGCGAAAGCGACUCUCUGGCCCGAAACUGACGCUGAGUGUGCGAAAGCUAGGGGAGCAAACGGGAUUAGAUACCCCGGUAGUCCUAGCCGUAAACGAUGGGCACUAAGUAGAGGGGUUUU
This 478-nucleotide ribosomal RNA is filed under the name uncultured bacterium. RNAcentral describes it as "bacterial SSU rRNA". It matches the Rfam family "Bacterial small subunit ribosomal RNA", at positions 365 to 832 of the family's 1533-position model. The record is from RNAcentral.